CCCUAGAGGCAUUACAGGUGUGGUAGCUCUGCUGUGUCACAUUCACAUGUACAUCGGUAGGUGGCAGAGGGAAGAGAGGCUGUGUCUAUGCUCAGUGUUUGACGUUUGACCUAUGACCUAUGACCAUCUGAAUGAUUAGUAGCCUAACAUU
RNAcentral lists this small nucleolar RNA (151 nucleotides) under Meriones unguiculatus (Mongolian gerbil). RNAcentral's name for it is "Small nucleolar RNA SNORA17 (ENSMUGG00000015819.1)". It matches the Rfam family "Small nucleolar RNA SNORA17". From Rfam's summary of the family: snoRNA ACA 17 belongs to the H/ACA family of snoRNAs and is predicted to guide pseudouridylation of the 28S rRNA at positions U4659 and U4598. It shares the same host gene together with ACA43. The record is from RNAcentral. Lineage: Eukaryota; Metazoa; Chordata; Mammalia; Rodentia; Muridae.